RNAcentral lists this ribosomal RNA (504 nucleotides) under uncultured bacterium. RNAcentral's name for it is "partial 16S ribosomal RNA". It matches the Rfam family "Bacterial small subunit ribosomal RNA", at positions 30 to 523 of the family's 1533-position model. The record is from RNAcentral.
AUUGAACGCUGGCGGAAUGCUUUACACAUGCAAGUCGAACGGCAGCAUAGAGAGCUUGCUCUCUGAUGGCGAGUGGCGAACGGGUGAGUAAUAUAUCGGAACGUACCCAGUAAUGGGGGAUAACGAAUCGAAAGAUUCUCUAAUACCGCAUACGCCCUACGGGGGAAAGCGGGGGAGCGUAAGACCUCGCGUUAUUGGAGCGGUCGAUAUCUGAUUAGCUAGUUGGAGAGGUAAAGGCUCACCAAGGCGACGAUCAGUAGCUGGUCUGAGAGGACGACCAGCCACACUGGAACUGAGACACGGUCCAGACUCCUACGGGAGGCAGCAGUGGGGAAUUUUGGACAAUGGGGGCAACCCUGAUCCAGCCAUUCCGCGUGAGUGAAGAAGGCCUUCGGGUUGUAAAGCUCUUUCGCAAGGGAAGAAAACUUAUCUACUAAUACUAGGUGAGGCUGACGGUACCUUGAUAAGAAGCACCGGCUAACUACGUGCCAGCCGCCGCCGUAA